Molecule: ribosomal RNA, 421 nt
Filed under: uncultured bacterium
Lineage: Bacteria
Description: bacterial SSU rRNA
Rfam family: Bacterial small subunit ribosomal RNA
Source: RNAcentral
UAAGGAAUAUUGGUCAAUGGACGCAAGUCUGAACCAGCCAUGCCGCGUGGAGGAUGAAGGUCCUCUGGAUUGUAAACUUCUUUUAUCUGGGACGAAACACUUCUUUUCUAAGAGGCCUGACGGUACCAGAUGAAUAAGCACCGGCUAACUCCGUGCCAGCAGCCGCGGUAAUACGGAGGGUGCAAGCGUUAUCCGGAUUCACUGGGUUUAAAGGGUGCGUAGGUGGGUAUGUAAGUCAGUGGUGAAAUCCCCGAGCUUAACUUGGGAACUGCCAUUGAUUCUAUAUAUCUUGAAUACCUUAUAGGUAAGCGGAAUAUGUCAUGUAGCGGUGAAAUGCUUAGAUAUGACAUGGAACACCAAUUGCGAAGGCAGCUUACUAUGCGGUGAUUGACACUGAGGCACGAAAGCGUGGGUAGCAAAC